Brassica rapa (field mustard) is the source of this 114-nucleotide non-coding RNA. The record is from Rfam. Lineage: Eukaryota; Viridiplantae; Streptophyta; Magnoliopsida; Brassicales; Brassicaceae.
GAAUAUAGAAUUAUAAUAUACAUAAAUGAUUACUCCUGACAUUAUACUAUUCAGAUAUUAAUGCUUGAUUUCCUCUCUUCAUGGAAUUUCAAGUUUUGCUAUUCUAUUACAUUG